CGAGGGUGUGCUCUCGAUUCCCUGGAUUACGAUAUGUACCGUGCUCUCGGCAACGAUUGAAGUGUGAGCAACAGAAUGCUUGGCUCCUUGCACAGCCUAGCACAAAACAAGUAGGCAUGAAGAUUCCUGACCCAACUCCAAUGCUCCACGUGUGGUGUUCAUAACAUAUGUCAUGUUUGAUCACAAAUUCUCAUGCCUGCCGGUAUUCACUAGGUCGUGCAAAGGCCAGCCACCCUCGUGCUCCACAUUUCAAGUGUUGCGGUCGGAGGGUGUUACCACCGGGGAGCAACACUUCUCACUUUCCAACUCUUGGGGCACAAUAGGAGGCUCACCGGGUGUCUCAGAGUUACCCAGCGGUUGUGUACCAGGUGACCUGCUUACCUCCCUGAAAGAGACAGUACAGUACUCAACAAAUGUAGUGUGAUUCAUAUUCAAAUUCAUGUGUGUUCAGAUGUCAUGCUACAGAUAUACAGAAACUGUUGGCACCCGUAGCCUAUUUUGAGUGUGGGUUCCAACAUAAAAUCACAGUUGAGAUAAUGUUAGCAUGUGGCUUUUGGUGCCCUAAUUUUGAAGUGCUGGUGAAUAUUUAACUCGUGACCAGUUCAGAACACGAUAGAAGAUGAAAGCGAGCACCGACUCUCCGAUUUGGCACUUACUAAAUGUCUCGACUACACAGCACGCCUUGAUUUUCAGCCGUGCUUUCUUGCACUCGCCUCCCAUGUCUUGUGUGCUCUGUAGCACUCUCAUCUCCAUUUGUCUCCACUGACUGUUAUUGCUUUGUUUUAUUGCUGUCCAGUCAUGGAAGGAAGUUAAAGCCAUAAGUGGGCAACAAGAAAUAUGUGUCUGUCAGCCUGCCAGAAAGUGCCAGCACUUUGAAAUUCGAUAGCUGCUACGAAAUGUGUCUUCGCGGUGUGCACUCCAUUCACAUCUGUAGCUUGAAAACAAAUACACCAGCCUGUCUCUGCAUAUCAAGGUGCACAGUGUUGCCAACAUUGCAGGCAGGCGCACGCACCCUGAUAUACCAUCACUGUCGGAUGCCAGUGCUGAAUUUCAAUCCCAUACGAGUAUUUAACAAUGAAAAAACUAGGUUUUGCCUUGUCAAUUGCAACGCCACCUCAUCAGGUGAGACGAUACGCCUGUCUGUCUUUCCUCGUGUUUUUUGGUGGCCACACUUGAAUGUCAGAUUCUCUAAUCAAUGCGUUUCAGAAAACUACCUCUUGCAUGUAGGUUUAUGCCGCACACCAGAUUAGAGAAUGUAGCAGUUUAUGGCAUUUCAUUUGUUGAGCCAUGUACUUGUUUCCUGCAUGCCUUGAACUGGACAUUGACAGUCGUUAAUUCACAUUUCCUGCUAACUAUGCGUGGUAAACCAGUGGAUUAUAAGUUGGGUUCCUACAAAAGAGUUUCAAAGGCACGCCUCAUAUUGUUUGCUUGGAGAAUCUCCUCGGGCACACUUGUGACAUGACUGACCAAGGCAGAUAUGGGGUCAAAGAAAGACUGGUAAGCCAAAAUGUUCUGUAUGACACCACCCUCCUUGGUGUGAGCAAGCAUCAAGCAUCUAUUCCUACACCUUCGUGUAUGAUACACCCACUUUUUCAGCGUCACCUGUAUCUGGUGUAAUCUCGCUCGUCUGUAAUAUAGUAAGUUUUGCUGAACACUUCCCAGUCUACUUUAUUUCGAGGAAUGUUUAGCUGCAGUAAAUUUGGGCAGUUGGUGUAAUUGAAAGUUAGCUUGUGUGUGUCAUUCUAAUUUCUAGUGCCAACCGAUGCGUCCACCAGGGCUGUGCAAAGACGCCUUGCGAAAAGUGGCAUCUGGCAUUAAGCUGCCGUCGUGUCACUUUCUCUGCACGGCCGCAUUCCCCGGGCCAGCAACCGGAACAGACAGUGAGACUAUGUCGCAGGGUGCACUUGUAACAGGUUAAUUGUAUGCAACUGACAAUGAAAUGCUGACCAGCUUGUUUUACAUCACUUGUUUGUCAGCAAGCAUGCCAGCAUCACUCGUUUAACUAGUCCUGUCAGUCAAUUCAUUCCAAUGCUAGAUCACCGGUGAAGUACCUGGCUACAUGUGCAGUCUGUGGAAGUGUCAAGAAAAGUGUGAAUACUGCUGUUUUCACUGAUGAAGCAUGCCAGCCACUGCUUGUUGGUGCUAUGCUCGCAGCCACUUGCCUGCAGCAAAAGUUGGUAUUGCAACAUGCAAUAGCUGUGAAGUUUUGGUAGCAAAAGCAGUACUCUUUUGUGAAUACCUGUACAGCAGCCUUAACAGCCAACCGGAAGAAGCUGUGCAAGGACAGGGCUACACAGUAUUGUAUCUCCCGAUGCUCUCGCCUCUUAUGCAGCUUUAGCGUCCGCGAGAACCAUUGCUUACUCAUGUCAAGCAGGCUAGCUUGUCAGGCUGUUUAUUAGAGCGUUCAGGUUCUCACUCUCUUAAACUUGAUUUUCACUGCAGGUCCGAGCUGUUAAAACUGUCAUGAAAGGCUUUAGAUGGAUGAAAGCAUUCUGCAAUAACAUUUGAAGAGUGGCGUGGGCACGUAUGAUCCUUUUGUAGGUUUGCCAUAGAUGCAUGCAUUUGAUAUGGCAUCAUGUGCACUUGAUCAACUGUGGAGAGAACAAAACUGUUUCCUGUUUUUGGGAGCCUGAAAGCAGGAGUAGCCUUAUCAACAAAUGAAUUUUGGAACUUCUACCAGCUUGUGAUUUGGGCAUGUGGGGCCUAAGUGGCUCGUCACGCUGUUCUUGCUUUCCUCACAAAGUUUCAUGGCACACACGCACUAAAUAGUCACAAUAAAUUUUGCUAAAUUGCGGAAUUAUCCAUAUUGAGUUUGUGAAUGUUAGACUAGCCCCACUGCUGUGUAAAUACUGGUGAUGCCUACCGCCAGCUGCGUCUGUGUGGCUUUUCCCAUGCAUGUGCAGUUGGGUGGAAAUAGUGCCAGUAAUUGUAAUGGUGGAAUGGCAACACUGUGCUAGAAUGCUCUACUAAAUAUGAUCAGUCUGGGCGUCAGCGGAGGAUCAGUACAUCAGAAACCACAUAGAAAUGAAAAGUAGGUAGGUGGACUACACUAAAAUUCUUGCACAAGCUCUUGGUAACCCUACAGAUAAUGGCAACGUUUGGUAGAAGCUGGUUCAUGGUUUAUUAAUAAGGAAUUAAUUACGCAGGCGUUUAAAAGUGAGCUUACACUCAACCUGGCAACUAUCAUUGUAGAGCCGUUUUGUACAAAAAAGGAAGGACACAAAUACAUGAAGAUAUCGCGAAACUUGUGACAGCGUCAUGACACUGCAAAUGCUGCACUUUGGGUUAAUACCAACACUUCAUCUAGACUCCAAGAAGCAAAGGACAGUGUUAUCCUUUGAGUGGAAUGCUUAUUGUCCUUCAGUAGGGUCCCUUGGCGAUUGCUGAGCGAGUAUUUCAGAACCAGGCGCUCUUGGCAGCAAAUUAAGGCACUGUAGUAGACUGCUUUUUCCACGAAAGCCCUUGUCACAGAAGCAAGCUAGAAGCAUUAUUGGAUCAGUGCUACAUCAAACAAGGAUGUGGCGCUGUCCUCGAGGGACAUUUUCCACCUUGUCCUCCGGCGACGAGGAUUUUCACGGAAAAAACAGUCUUCUCUCCACUGCCUUUUAUUCUUUGCCGAGAGUGCCCGUUGGUAAAAUCUUUGCUCGGGAAUCACCGAGGAGCAGAGGAGAGUAGAGGCUCAUUUGUGAAUGCAGGCAGUUCACUUUCACUUUAGCAUCUCUGUGGUGUGACCACAUGUCGUGCGUGAGUGACCUAGCCCAGAAUUUCUGAUCAAAGCGAGUUGUCGUUUAGUGAGCGAAGUUACACCAGCUACAGUUUGGCACAGCCAUCUCGAGUAGUCUUGGUAGAUGGCCUUCCAACAGAGUACCUGAGUACUGUGAGAAAAUAUUGCGUGCAUGGUCUUUCCACCCUCGAUAGCUAGUUGUCAGAAUUACUACUAGGUGUCGGAAUUACUGACUCCAUGCUAUGGCUUUUCUGUUGUCUGAAGAACUAGAUUGUCUUUGAGAUGAGCUUUCACGGUGACAAAUUAUGCUACAUGUAAAAGGAAAAAAUGAAUUUUUAUACUGGCUGACUAGAAAAAAAUAUGUCGGCAGAGAACCGAAUUUUUUAUGUUUUUUUUAACAUGUGCACAGAUAUGUGUUGUGUGAAAACUGUGCUGAAGUCUUGUUUUUAUAAUUCCUGUAUCAAUAUUAUUUUUGUCAGUGUUUUUUCAUUACUUGCGAGAUCAUGUUUGUUUUCAGGCAUUUUCGGUGAUUUGUUUUCAUGAGCAGACUGCAUGAGCUUAACUUCAUGUUUUUUCGUUUUGUUUUAUUGAGUCAUCAGUGUGAAGCUAAAAGUGCUCAAUAAUGCAUCUUUGUGUUCUGCACAUUUGUUUGACCAAUAUUUGUGUGCUCAGUAUGUUUAGUACGGCUGUUUGUUUGAGUCAUGUUCUUUUCAUCAGUAGAUGUUCAGUAAAAGCUUUUUUUUUAA
RNAcentral lists this long non-coding RNA (4470 nucleotides) under Dermacentor andersoni. RNAcentral describes it as "uncharacterized LOC126528151". The record is from RNAcentral. Lineage: Eukaryota; Metazoa; Arthropoda; Arachnida; Ixodida; Ixodidae.